UACGUAGGACCCAAGCGUUAUCCGGAAUGACUGGGCGUAAAGAGUUGCGUAGGUGGCUUGUUAAGCGGUGUGUGAAAUAAUGUGGCUCAACCAUGUUGCUAUACACUGAACUGACAGGCUAGAGUAUGAAAGAGGUAACUGGAAUUCCUAGUGUAGGAGUGAAAUCCGUAGAUAUUAGGAGGAACACCGAUGGCGUAGGCAGGUUACUGGUUCAUUACUGACACUAAGGCACGAAAGCGUGGGGAGCAAACGGG
RNAcentral lists this ribosomal RNA (254 nucleotides) under uncultured bacterium. Its description in RNAcentral is "partial 16S ribosomal RNA". It matches the Rfam family "Bacterial small subunit ribosomal RNA", at positions 524 to 776 of the family's 1533-position model. The record is from RNAcentral.